GCGGGCAUAGCUCAGUGGUAGAGCGAUUCCUUGCCAAGGAAUAGGUCGCCAGUUCGAAUCUGGUUGCCCGCUCCA
RNAcentral lists this transfer RNA (75 nucleotides) under Fimbriimonas ginsengisoli Gsoil 348. Its description in RNAcentral is "tRNA-Gly (GCC) (tRNA-Gly-GCC-1-1)". It matches the Rfam family "tRNA". From Rfam's summary of the family: Transfer RNA (tRNA) molecules are approximately 80 nucleotides in length. Their secondary structure includes four short double-helical elements and three loops (D, anti-codon, and T loops). Further hydrogen bonds mediate the characteristic L-shaped molecular structure. tRNAs have two regions of fundamental functional importance: the anti-codon, which is responsible for specific mRNA codon recognition, and the 3' end, to which the tRNAs corresponding amino acid is attached (by aminoacyl-tRNA synthetases). tRNAs cope with the degeneracy of the genetic code in two manners: having more than one tRNA (with a specific anti-codon) for a particular amino acid; and 'wobble' base-pairing, i.e. permitting non-standard base-pairing at the 3rd anti-codon position. The record is from RNAcentral. RNAcentral also lists the same sequence under 2 other names. Lineage: Bacteria; Bacillati; Armatimonadota; Fimbriimonadia; Fimbriimonadales; Fimbriimonadaceae.